This 151-nucleotide ribosomal RNA is filed under the name Pichia sp. YS5. RNAcentral's name for it is "Issatchenkia sp. YS5 5.8S ribosomal RNA". It matches the Rfam family "5.8S ribosomal RNA". From Rfam's summary of the family: 5.8S ribosomal RNA (5.8S rRNA) is a component of the large subunit of the eukaryotic ribosome. It is transcribed by RNA polymerase I as part of the 45S precursor that also contains 18S and 28S rRNA. Functionally, it is thought that 5.8S rRNA may be involved in ribosome translocation. The record is from RNAcentral. Lineage: Eukaryota; Fungi; Ascomycota; Pichiomycetes; Pichiales; Pichiaceae.
AAACUUUCAACAACGGAUCUCUUGGUUCUCGCAUCGAUGAAGAGCGCAGCGAAAUGCGAUACCUAGUGUGAAUUGCAGCCAUCGUGAAUCAUCGAGUUCUUGAACGCACAUUGCGCCCCUCGGCAUUCCGGGGGGCAUGCCUGUUUGAGCG